AACGUGUUUGCUGUGAGCAGAACCUUUCAUGUGCAGACAUGUGGCCAUGAGUGAAAUGAGUAGAAAUAUUAAAACAUGUCUUGUGACGGUUGAUGAAAAUGAAGAUGAUGAAGAUAACGGUUGAUUUGGUAUAAAGCUUGUUGCACUGGUACACCCAGGUUAGGGGAGUGUUGGUGCGCCCUUAAAAAAGUUUAACCCGGCCACAUUCUGUAUGUGUCAGUUUCAAGUCACGAGAUGGUAAUGCAGUGUUUGUCGUUUGUUUCUAUUUGUUGUUUCUUAUUUAUUUUGUACAUUAAUCGGGCCGUUAGAUUUUUCGUUUGUUUUACAUUAUUUAUUUCGGGAAUUGAAGACUAUGCAGUAUGAAUUUUACUCAUUGUUGAAGCCCGUACGGGACCUAUAAUUGUAAGUUAAUUUAUGUCUCAUUUGCAAUCAUAUCACAUCUUCUUUUUUUAUAUGGAAUACUUUUGAAGUUUGUGGUACGUUGCAAGGAAAAAAAGGGGGAUAUAUAGGUACAAAACCUAUAAUGUAAUAGAUUUUAACCAGAGUAAAAUACACAACAACAGAUAAUACUAUGGAAGCAGUAAUAAUUGUGAAAAAAAAAAAGCAACGAGUAGUCUUUAAAAAAAAACCUGAAGUAUCCGCAAAUUCAAUUUGAGGUCAUAUUUGACUGUAGUGUUCUAUUGCUUUGGUUUGAUACCUCACCCAAU
Molecule: long non-coding RNA, 707 nt
Filed under: Mytilus galloprovincialis (Mediterranean mussel)
Lineage: Eukaryota; Metazoa; Mollusca; Bivalvia; Mytilida; Mytilidae
Source: RNAcentral